This 2931-nucleotide ribosomal RNA is filed under the name Escherichia coli. RNAcentral's name for it is "23S ribosomal RNA". It matches the Rfam family "Bacterial large subunit ribosomal RNA". Lineage: Bacteria; Pseudomonadati; Pseudomonadota; Gammaproteobacteria; Enterobacterales; Enterobacteriaceae. The record is from RNAcentral.
GGGUUGUGAGGUUAAGCGACUAAGCGUACACGGUGGAUGCCCUGGCAGUCAGAGGCGAUGAAGGACGUGCUAAUCUGCGAUAAGCGUCGGUGAGGUGAUAUGAACCGUUAUAACCGGCGAUUUCCGAAUGGGGAAACCCAGUGUGAUUCGUCACACUAUCAUUAACUGAAUCCAUAGGUUAAUGAGGCGAACCGGGGGAACUGAAACAUCUAAGUACCCCGAGGAAAAGAAAUCAACCGAGAUUCCCCCAGUAGCGGCGAGCGAACGGGGAGGAGCCCAGAGCCUGAAUCAGUGUGUGUGUUAGUGGAAGCGUCUGGAAAGGCGCGCGAUACAGGGUGACAGCCCCGUACACAAAAAUGCACAUACUGUGAGCUCGAUGAGUAGGGCGGGACACGUGGUAUCCUGUCUGAAUAUGGGGGGACCAUCCUCCAAGGCUAAAUACUCCUGACUGACCGAUAGUGAACCAGUACCGUGAGGGAAAGGCGAAAAGAACCCCGGCGAGGGGAGUGAAAAAGAACCUGAAACCGUGUACGUACAAGCAGUGGGAGCCUCUUAAUGGGGUGACUGCGUACCUUUUGUAUAAUGGGUCAGCGACUUAUAUUCUGUAGCAAGGUUAACCGAAUAGGGGAGCCGAAGGGAAACCGAGUCUUAACUGGGCGUUAAGUUGCAGGGUAUAGACCCGAAACCCGGUGAUCUAGCCAUGGGCAGGUUGAAGGUUGGGUAACACUAACUGGAGGACCGAACCGACUAAUGUUGAAAAAUUAGCGGAUGACUUGUGGCUGGGGGUGAAAGGCCAAUCAAACCGGGAGAUAGCUGGUUCUCCCCGAAAGCUAUUUAGGUAGCGCCUCGUGAAUUCAUCUCCGGGGGUAGAGCACUGUUUCGGCAAGGGGGUCAUCCCGACUUACCAACCCGAUGCAAACUGCGAAUACCGGAGAAUGUUAUCACGGGAGACACACGGCGGGUGCUAACGUCCGUCGUGAAGAGGGAAACAACCCAGACCGCCAGCUAAGGUCCCAAAGUCAUGGUUAAGUGGGAAACGAUGUGGGAAGGCCCAGACAGCCAGGAUGUUGGCUUAGAAGCAGCCAUCAUUUAAAGAAAGCGUAAUAGCUCACUGGUCGAGUCGGCCUGCGCGGAAGAUGUAACGGGGCUAAACCAUGCACCGAAGCUGCGGCAGCGACACUAUGUGUUGUUGGGUAGGGGAGCGUUCUGUAAGCCUGUGAAGGUGUACUGUGAGGUAUGCUGGAGGUAUCAGAAGUGCGAAUGCUGACAUAAGUAACGAUAAAGCGGGUGAAAAGCCCGCUCGCCGGAAGACCAAGGGUUCCUGUCCAACGUUAAUCGGGGCAGGGUGAGUCGACCCCUAAGGCGAGGCCGAAAGGCGUAGUCGAUGGGAAACAGGUUAAUAUUCCUGUACUUGGUGUUACUGCGAAGGGGGGACGGAGAAGGCUAUGUUGGCCGGGCGACGGUUGUCCCGGUUUAAGCGUGUAGGCUGGUUUUCCAGGCAAAUCCGGAAAAUCAAGGCUGAGGCGUGAUGACGAGGCACUACGGUGCUGAAGCAACAAAUGCCCUGCUUCCAGGAAAAGCCUCUAAGCAUCAGGUAACAUCAAAUCGUACCCCAAACCGACACAGGUGGUCAGGUAGAGAAUACCAAGGCGCUUGAGAGAACUCGGGUGAAGGAACUAGGCAAAAUGGUGCCGUAACUUCGGGAGAAGGCACGCUGAUAUGUAGGUGAAGCGACUUGCUCGUGGAGCUGAAAUCAGUCGAAGAUACCAGCUGGCUGCAACUGUUUAUUAAAAACACAGCACUGUGCAAACACGAAAGUGGACGUAUACGGUGUGACGCCUGCCCGGUGCCGGAAGGUUAAUUGAUGGGGUUAGCGGUAACGCGAAGCUCUUGAUCGAAGCCCCGGUAAACGGCGGCCGUAACUAUAACGGUCCUAAGGUAGCGAAAUUCCUUGUCGGGUAAGUUCCGACCUGCACGAAUGGCGUAAUGAUGGCCAGGCUGUCUCCACCCGAGACUCAGUGAAAUUGAACUCGCUGUGAAGAUGCAGUGUACCCGCGGCAAGACGGAAAGACCCCGUGAACCUUUACUAUAGCUUGACACUGAACAUUGAGCCUUGAUGUGUAGGAUAGGUGGGAGGCUUUGAAGUGUGGACGCCAGUCUGCAUGGAGCCGGCCUUGAAAUACCACCCUUUAAUGUUUGAUGUUCUAACGUUGGCCCCUGAUCGGGGUUGCGGACAGUGUCUGGUGGGUAGUUUGACUGGGGCGGUCUCCUCCUAAAGAGUAACGGAGGAGCACGAAGGUUGGCUAAUCCUGGUCGGACAUCAGGAGGUUAGUGCAAUGGCAUAAGCCAGCUUGACUGCGAGCGUGACGGCGCGAGCAGGUGCGAAAGCAGGUCAUAGUGAUCCGGUGGUUCUGAAUGGAAGGGCCAUCGCUCAACGGAUAAAAGGUACUCCGGGGAUAACAGGCUGAUACCGCCCAAGAGUUCAUAUCGACGGCGGUGUUUGGCACCUCGAUGUCGGCUCAUCACAUCCUGGGGCUGAAGUAGGUCCCAAGGGUAUGGCUGUUCGCCAUUUAAAGUGGUACGCGAGCUGGGUUUAGAACGUCGUGAGACAGUUCGGUCCCUAUCUGCCGUGGGCGCUGGAGAACUGAGGGGGGCUGCUCCUAGUACGAGAGGACCGGAGUGGACGCAUCACUGGUGUUCGGGUUGUCAUGCCAAUGGCACUGCCCGGUAGCUAAAUGCGGAAGAGAUAAGUGCUGAAAGCAUCUAAGCACGAAACUUGCCCCGAGAUGAGUUCUCCCUGACUCCUUGAGAGUCCUGAAGGAACGUUGAAGACGACGACGUUGAUAGGCCGGGUGUGUAAGCGCAGCGAUGCGUUGAGCUAACCGGUACUAAUGAACCGUGAGGCUUAACCUUACAACGCCGAAGGUGUUU